GGCCGCCCCUUCUCACCGACGAUGAGGAGCAUUGUGACUGUCUGCACCAUGGCCGCCCCUUCUCACCAACGAUGAGGAGCAUUGUGACUGACUGCACCGUGGCCACCCCUUCUCACCAACGAUGAGGAGCACUGCGACUGUCUGCACCAUGGCCGCCCCUUCUCCCCAACGAUGAGGAACAUUGUGACUGUCUGCACCGUGGCCGCCCCUUCUCACCGAUGCUGAGGAGCACUGUGACUGUCUGCACCGUGGCCGCCCCUUCUCACCAACGAUGAGGAGCACUGCGACUGUCUGCACCGUGGCCGCCCCUUCUCACCAACGACGAAGAGCAUCGCGG
RNAcentral lists this long non-coding RNA (337 nucleotides) under Homo sapiens (human). Its description in RNAcentral is "non-protein coding lnc-CDH4-1:1". The record is from RNAcentral. Lineage: Eukaryota; Metazoa; Chordata; Mammalia; Primates; Hominidae.